GCCAGUAAGCUCCAAAAAGAAAUCCGCGUGAUUUGGUGGGUGAAAAGGCACUGGCAUAAGGGCAGCCAGCCACAGAAGGCUAGCCCAGGGUUGGGUGUGGCCACAGCUUUAGAAGCUGAUGCAAAUGAGUCACCACGGGCUGCAGCCACACCAGGGGACAGAGAGAGCUGGAAAGGCAGAGAAAAGCAACCCCAGGGGCUUGAGGCUGUGUCAGCCCUAAAUAAGGCUUGGCCAGCUCACUGGGCAAGACCAACUUCCAAAUGCCAACCAGGGGCUCCUCCUUGAGUCAGAGGACUCAGCCCUGCAAGUCCUUGAGCUUUGCGAGGGAAGGACACUCCUGGGUUUGUGGUUUUUCCUGCAUCUAGACCACCAGCUAGAGCAUGAGCCUUCAUUUGUUCAUUCUGAGCCCAAGCAAACACUGCAAGCUUGAGACAGCAAUGUAAAGGGAAGCAGCAUUGAAGAGAGGCCACCUCAGGAAGCCUAGUACAAAUCCCUGCCCUGCCGCUUCCUAGCAUCUGACUCAAGGAAAGUUACUCUUGGAGCCCCCAGUUAUAAGGGGGAGGCUAGUGGUGCCAAGUCUAUUGCCAACCUCAAAGGGAAGUCGUUGCAUUGCAGUAAAUGGUGUGUGUCAAGCCCUCCACAAAGUGCCUGGCACAUAGGAAGUCCUCCCCCAGUGGCUGCUGCAUGCAGGCCAUCUGAAAUUGCCAGCAUUAUCCACUUGACCUUGAAGCUGUAGGCGGUCAACUGGCCGAGAAACAGGAAGACGAGAGGCCUACGGAUGUGCCCACGUUCCCACAGCUGACACCUGGCUUCCCCUCUCCCGCCCAGCACACCUUCCAUGACUAGUUACAGGACAUCUCUGCGGAGUGUAUAAGAUUUUCCUCUCUGCCUGGGAGGAGAAGAGGGAGAGUUUCUGCAAAGAUGAGGCUUCCCAUUCAUAAGCAGAAACAAGCAUUUCAGCCUCCUGCAGCCCCAGCUGCCAUGAGGCACGUGGGAUCUGAGCUCCCAACCAGGAAUCAAACCUGUACCCUGCCCUGGAAGGUGAAGUCUUCACCACUGGACCACGUGGAGGUCCCCUGACAGCUGUUUUGAUAAAUAAAGCUUUAUUGGCACACAGCCAA
Long non-coding RNA from Bubalus bubalis (water buffalo), 1121 nucleotides. RefSeq lists it as uncharacterized. Lineage: Eukaryota; Metazoa; Chordata; Mammalia; Artiodactyla; Bovidae. The transcript is spliced from 3 exons. The record is from RefSeq and is a predicted model, not a curated record.